RNAcentral lists this transfer RNA (17 nucleotides) under Somatochlora elongata. Its description in RNAcentral is "partial tRNA-Asn". The record is from RNAcentral. Lineage: Eukaryota; Metazoa; Arthropoda; Insecta; Odonata; Corduliidae.
UUUAUAUUAGUUGAAGC